RNAcentral lists this ribosomal RNA (279 nucleotides) under uncultured bacterium. RNAcentral's name for it is "partial 16S ribosomal RNA". It matches the Rfam family "Bacterial small subunit ribosomal RNA", at positions 506 to 784 of the family's 1533-position model. The record is from RNAcentral.
UGCCAGCAGCCGCGGUAAUACGAAGGGGGCGAGCGUUGUUCGGAAUAACUGGGCGUAAAGGGCGCGUAGGCGGUCUAUCCAGUUGGGCGUGAAAGCCCCGGGCUUAACCUGGGAACUGCAUUUGAAACUGGUAAACUAGAGUAUGGUAGAGGAAAGUGGAAUUUCUGGUGUAGCGGUGAAAUGCGUAGAUAUCAGAAGGAACAUCAAUGGCGAAGGCAGCUUUCUGGACCAAUACUGACACUGAGGUACGAAAGCGUGGGUAGCAAACAGGAUUAGAUA